UACGUAGGGUCCGAGCGUUAAUCGGAAUUACUGGGCGUAAAGCGUGCGCAGGCGGUUUUGUAAGCCAGAUGUGAAAGCCCCGGGCUUAACCUGGGAAUGGCAUUUGGGACUGCAAGGCUGGAGUACGGCAGAGGGAGGUGGAAUUCCAGGUGUAGCAGUGAAAUGCGUAGAUAUCUGGAGGAACACCGGUGGCGAAGGCGGCAUCCUGGACCGAGAUUGACGCUGAGGCGCGAAAGCCAGGGGAGCAAACGGG
RNAcentral lists this ribosomal RNA (253 nucleotides) under uncultured bacterium. RNAcentral describes it as "partial 16S ribosomal RNA". It matches the Rfam family "Bacterial small subunit ribosomal RNA", at positions 524 to 776 of the family's 1533-position model. The record is from RNAcentral.